Molecule: long non-coding RNA, 2357 nt
Organism: Beta vulgaris subsp. vulgaris (sugar beet)
Lineage: Eukaryota; Viridiplantae; Streptophyta; Magnoliopsida; Caryophyllales; Amaranthaceae
Exons: 2
Source: RefSeq, a predicted model, not a curated record
AAUCCAGAACCCAUCACUAUCUAUUUCUAUCUCGUACCUUCUAAACCCCAAAACCCCUUAAACCUUUCUCUCUCCUCGUGAGACCCCAAACCCCAAAACCGACAUUGAAACCGUGAAACCCCAUCAAUUCUCUCUCCUUCGCCUGUUGUGCCUCCCUCGCCGGAGUUUCCUAUUUGUCACCGGAGGCUCGCCUCUCCUCGUCGGUGUUGUCGUGGGCAGCAUUGUCUCUCUCUUUCUCUCCUUUGUGAUGUUGUUGUUGUGUCGUUGCUGCUACCCAUGUUUCCCCCUCCUGCUCAGCUCUCACGUCGCCUGCGCGCGCCACCUGCACCCUUUCCGGUGCCUCGCAGCAUCGCCGUAGCUUGCCUCCCCUGCUGGAUGUCACUCGCUAGUGCUCAAUUGCGCCGAAGCUUCGAAACUCCCUUAGCCCUCUGUGUUCGUGGCUUUGUUCUUCGCUACUCUUGUGAGCAGAGGUACUAAACCCUUGUCCCUUUGUCCUUGUAAUUGUUGUUUCAAUUUUGAUGAAAUUUACAAAUGGAUUGUGGUUAUAGUUGAUAAUGUUGAAUUUAUUAUUAGUAGUGAACUCAAAUUCCAAUUUUGAUGGUGUUGUGUUGAUUAAUUGGAUGAACGUGAGUGGAUAGAUUCUUGGUAGAUUAUUGUUAUUGUUGCUGCGUUAUAUUGUUGUUGUUGCCAUGUUGGAUGUUGUUGUUGUUGUUGGAUGUUGUUGUUGGCUUCGUUGUUGUAUUGGUGGCUGUUUACAACUAUAUCUUUGGUGAUAGUUUAUAUGAGGCUUUUUUGAGUGAAAAUAUGAAGCAUCUUUCUUUCUUUCUUUCUCUCUAAAUUCUUUCCUCAACCUCCUUUUCUUUUCUCUUAGUUUAAACAUGCAUCAAUGACUUACUCCCCUACCUCCCCUAUCUCCAUAUAUUUGGUUUUUCUAAUAUUUUUUGUUCGCUAAUAUAUGCUAUAAGAAUCAAGCUCUCUUGCAUUGCAAGCUUGUUGAUUUGAUUUGAUUUCAUUGUUUCCUUUAGCAAGCAUUCGCCAAUGGGACACAAUUUUGUUGAAACAAUUAGGUGGAAUUAAACUCUUGUGUUGAAUAGGUAGGUUGAAUUGUAAAUAGCUUUUAUAGCCACCUGUUUCAAGCAUGUUUUAGUUCUUUUGUAUUAUACCUACUGACUUUCUUCCACCAUUUCCUGGUGUGACUCAUAAGAGAACGCUUGGACUUCUUCGUUUUUGUAAAUUAGUAUUAAGAUGCUUUUCCUCCACUCUUCGGGUAUUAUGUUUGUCCUCCAAAUCUUGCUGAGUAAGUUUGUUAACCAAUCAAUCCCAAUCUUCCCUUAGGCAUCUACAAACUUUUGUGAUUCAAUCUUCCACAUUUUUUCGAUCACCCUUCAUCUAUUUGAGGCUGAAAUGAUCAUGAAUGAUAGAAAAAAGACCUUUUGCAUUUCUUAUAGGGGGCAUAAUGACAUUGUUGUUUAAAAUUCUUAUAUUUCUAAAAUUUAAAUUGGAUGUUUUUUGCUUGUGUGCUCCUAGUUCAUAGCAAAGUAGUGGGUGCAUGAUGAUUCUCGAAUGAUUUAAGGGUAGAAUCUUUAAAGACAAGGACAUCUGUGAAAAAAAAGGGUUCAAGAAUAUUUAUCUUUUAAUUGAAAUAAAACUUGUUAAGUGGAAAAUUUUCAUAGUGUUAGCACAUAAAUGUGAUGGUUGUACUAAGGCAAGGUGCAUAUUAGUAUACACAACUCUUAACUCUAAACUUGGUAUUUGGACGAUAUAUGUUUUUACAUAACUCAUCCUGAAAUAGUUGAGUGUAAAUGUGUUUAGCAGCUUGAAGUAGUGCCACCUAGACUAGGAAGUACUUCAUUGUGUUGAACUCUUAAUUUCUUGAUCAGCAUUAUAUUAUGCUUACAAUUAUAAACAUUAUGAUAAUGCUUAGAAUUAUAAACAUUAUGAUCGAAUUGUUCUACCUCUUCUCAUAUAUGUUUUGCCUUUAAUUCAUUUUCCCUGUUCUGCUGCUGGAAAAUUUGUCAUCAUGCGCACUCAUCUUUUGCAAGCAAUCUCAUUCAGUGAAUUUUGUAUCCAAAAAAAAAAUAAGGGGAGGAUAAGGAUCAAGAGAAUCAAAAUGACGAAUUGGAGUAGCAACACAUGACAUCGAGGCCGCUAGGAAAAUGGAUGCAUAUGGCGAAAUUAUAUGACUAUUAGAUCUAGUUUUACAUUACCAUAUGAAUACAUUCUUGUUGGAUAAUUUUGAUUUUAGAUUAAACAUGUAUUACUUUUUAUUAGUUUAUUAUCUAUGGAAGUAGCAGUAAUAGGUGUACAAAAUUCUAUAAUUAUUAUAGUAUAAUUGUCAAUUCAUAUAUUAAUUUUAA